This 474-nucleotide ribosomal RNA is filed under the name uncultured bacterium. RNAcentral describes it as "partial 16S ribosomal RNA". It matches the Rfam family "Bacterial small subunit ribosomal RNA", at positions 28 to 507 of the family's 1533-position model. The record is from RNAcentral.
GAUGAACGCUAGCGGCAGGCCUAACACAUGCAAGUCGAGGGAGGAGCUUUCGGGCUUCGACCGGCGUACGGGUGCGUAACGCGUAUACAAUCUGCCUUUCACAUAGGGAUAGCCCGAAGAAAUUUGGAUUAAUACCUAAUGGUAUAUAGGAGUGGCAUCACAUUUAUAUUAAAGCUGAGGCGGUGAAAGAUGAGUAUGCGUUCUAUUAGCUAGUUGGAGAGGUAACGGCUCCCCAAGGCGACGAUAGAUAGGGGUUCUGAGAGGGAUAUCCCCCACACUGGUACUGCGAUACGGACCAGACUCCUACGGGAGGCAGCAGUGAGGAAUAUUGGACAGUGGUCGGAAGACUGAUCCAGCCAUGCCGCGUGCAGUAAGACGGCCUUAUGGGUUGUAAACUGCUUUUGCAGGGGAAGAAUAAGGACUACGAGUAGUUUGAUGACGGUACUCUGCGAAUAAGCAUCGGCUAACUCCGUG